Brachypodium distachyon (stiff brome) is the source of this 934-nucleotide long non-coding RNA. RefSeq lists it as uncharacterized. The transcript has 2 exons. NCBI's taxonomy places the organism in Eukaryota, Viridiplantae, Streptophyta, Magnoliopsida, Poales, Poaceae. The record is from RefSeq and is a predicted model, not a curated record.
ACGGCUUUCCCAUCCCUACCUCGCACUCCGAUGCAGUCGCCCAGCCGUCGCGCUGCCCGGCCCGGGCCUUGGGCCUCCAUGCUCGCGACGCCGGCAAGGAGAAGAUCCUCUUAGGAGCACCACCCGCUACGGCGCUACCUGGCCGGAGGUCGUCGUCCGAUGUCUCCUCUCUGACCUCGCCGUGGGUAUGCUCCUCGUCCCCCGUCUUCCUCCUACGACCGCGAAGGAAGAGAGCACACCGCCUUCCCGCUUCCGCCCGCCGCGCCGCGACGGAUCCAGGGGAGCCGUGCAACGACCUCCCCGACAGCAGCUCUCGCUCGUUGCCAGGAAUGGGGAUGGAACCGGAUGGAGGAGCUGAGGACGCGGGUGGAGCUUGGCGUGGCAGCGGAGAGAGGCAGAUGCGAGGCCUACGGCCUACCCCGUAAGAGCAUGUUCAGGGAGGUGCUUGCACGAAGAAAAACCGGGUGUGCUUGUGUUCUACAGGACACAGGACAGGUUAAGAAUGGUGAGAAAAGAAGCUACUGUACGAGAAUCGUCUGUUGGAAACGCCAGCGCAAAAAACUCUAGAAAACACAACGGCUUCACGCGUGUCACUUCGCAAAACCAUAGACGCUGACAGUGGCCCUUUGCAGGCAACCCACUGGCCUGCCGAUAUAACACGGAACUGAGCUGCGCCUCGGUGGAGCGAGGAGAGGCCGAAGAAACUUUCGGCUUUAGGAUAUGGAUGUUAUGUUAUUUGUCCAUGCAUGUCAAAUAAUAUAACUUAUAAAAGAGUAGAGUAAAGAUAAACCAGGACAGAACAACUCCGGCUUAUGCUUGCUAUACGAAUGCUAUUUCAUGCCAAUUACAAAUUCAACGUUUACUUUUAUUAUACAUCUGAAGAUGCAAGAUACAGAACACUACAGAAGGAAAAACAAUUUAGGAGUACACAGCA